UAUGACUGUCCACCGCAUGGUGGAUGGUGUAAAGCUCCGGGGGUGCAGGAUGAGCCCGCGGCCUAUCAGCUUGUUGGAGAGGCAGUGGCUCACCAAGGCGACGACGGGUAGCCGGCCUGAGAGGGCGACCGGCCACCCUGGGACUGAGACACGGCCCAUACUCCUACGGGAGGCAGCAGUGGGGAAUAUUGCACAAUGGGCGAAAGCCUGACACAGCGACGCCGCGUGAGGGAUGACGGCCUUCGGGUUGUAAACCUCUUUCAGCAGGGAAGAAGCGAAAGUGACGGUACCUGCAGAAGAAGCGCCGGCUAACUACGUGCCAGCAGCCGCGGUAAUACGUAGGGCGCAAGCGUUGUCCGGAAUUAUUGGGCGUAAAGAGCUCGUAGGCGGCUUGUCACGUCGGUUGUGAAAGCCCGGGGCUUAACCCCGGGUCUGCAGUCGAUACGGGCAGGCUAGAGUUCGGUAGGGGAGAUCGGAAUUCCUGGUGUAGCGGUGAAAUGCGCAGAUAUCAGGAGGAACACCGGUGGCGAAGGCGGAUCUCUGGGCCGAUACUGACGCUGAGGAGCGAAAGCGUGGGGAGCGAACAGGAUUAGAUACCCUGGUAGUCCACGCCGUAAACGGUGGGCACUAGGUGUGGGCAACAUUCCACGUUGUCCGUGCCGCAGCUAACGCAUUAAGUGCCCCGCCUGGGGAGUACGGCCGCAAGGCUAAAACUCAAAGGAAUUGACGGGGGCCCGCACAAGCGGCGGAGCAUGUGGCUUAAUUCGACGCAACGCGAAGAACCUUACCAAGGCUUGACAUACACCGGAAAGCUUCGGAGAUGGUG
This 826-nucleotide ribosomal RNA is filed under the name Streptomyces sp. RNAcentral's name for it is "bacterial SSU rRNA". It matches the Rfam family "Bacterial small subunit ribosomal RNA", at positions 173 to 1011 of the family's 1533-position model. Lineage: Bacteria; Bacillati; Actinomycetota; Actinomycetes; Kitasatosporales; Streptomycetaceae. The record is from RNAcentral.